Molecule: long non-coding RNA, 232 nt
Filed under: Elaeis guineensis (African oil palm)
Lineage: Eukaryota; Viridiplantae; Streptophyta; Magnoliopsida; Arecales; Arecaceae
Description: long non-coding RNA (EGUI_LNC044342)
Source: RNAcentral
UCUUUUCCUCUCUUUUAGAAAUUUUUGAACUUUUCUCGGAUGUAAGCUUUAAAUACUUUCAAACUUGUGAUUUUUCACUUCAAAAGAGUAUUUAUAAUCACUAUUUAUAGUUAAAAAUAUCUUAGUAUCGGUUUAGAGCCAUUGGAGAGUGUUUAAUGCAUAUUUAAUACAUAAAAAAUGAGCUAAAAACUAGCCAUUACACGUGCUCGCAGGAAUGGGACAUCCCACUGGC